RNAcentral lists this long non-coding RNA (1173 nucleotides) under Drosophila guanche. Lineage: Eukaryota; Metazoa; Arthropoda; Insecta; Diptera; Drosophilidae. The record is from RNAcentral.
GAUUUACAACAAUUUAUUUGCCUAAUAUUCAAUUAAUUUUACAUAUUCUGAGAGCCAAACUGCUGACGUGAUCAUCCGCACACGAUUUGUAGUUACAGGAUCAAUAAAUAUAGCCAUAAAUAAAUGUGUAGCGUGACUCGAAGUCUCUUUUACUUGCGAUGAAAAUCAAAUAAAUUUCGAUCAAUCACGUUCUUUUUUAGGCUGAUUCUACGCAGAUCUAUUGGCACAAAUCAUUCCUUUCUGCCAGCCUCAAAAAGCUGCCAAAAUGACAACCCAAGGCAGCAGCUAACUCCUGCCCAAAGUUGCUUCUGUUCUCAUCUCAAUUAUGUGCCUGAUUUAUCAAUUAAGAUGAAUGGGGCAAACCAUUUCAAGAUCAUUUAUAAGACAGCUGAGGGGAAGUCUGCGCAGCAUCAUCGAUCAAUCAGUUCAAUCAGACUUCCUGUGACCUCUGGCCCUGCCAUCCUAAUGAUCUCUCUCUGGGACUCUUGUGCAAACCCAUGGACCCGGUGGCUAAUAAGCAGGUGUAAGGGCAUCAAAAUACCAAAAAAUGUUAACUAAUUUUCGUUGACGUGUGAAGAGGAAAGCGGGCUCAGAGCUCUGGGACCACACUCCUCCUCCAUCCGCUGCCGUGCGUUGGCCCUAUUCGAGGCGCUGUCAGUCGUCACUCAAGCAAACCCCACGGACCUGCCAGCCUGCGGCUACGCAUGACAUUUUGUUGUUGUUGUUGUUGUUUGCUUGUAACAUUUCUAGCAGCGUUAUGCAAAAUCAUUUGACCCGCUCCCAGGCCCAGAAUCGACGCUGAUCGCUAUCUGAGCGUUAAUAUAUGCCUUUGCCUUUGGUAAUGCAUAUUUCGAGGCACUUUUCCGGCCCAGGGUGGUGCUGGCCAUUGGCUCAUUUUUUUGUGUUGUUUCCCUUGCUGGGAAAAUCAUUUAAUUAACAUUUUCAUGCCGCCAUCGAGGCGCAAAAUAAUCACGCAUAUGCGUGGAAUUCCGCGGCACAGUGGCUGUGAUAGACAAAAUUGUACUCACUUUGGCAUAAACAAGUGUAACUGUGGAGCCGUAAUGCAGGAACGGCGCUGAAAGAAUAAAUUGGACGAUAAUUGCUAAUAUAAAUAUUGUUAAUGGAAUAUACAACAAUUAGACAUAUAAAAUCUAUUUUUCCCAUCAAGAAUAU